Strongylocentrotus purpuratus (purple sea urchin) is the source of this 1208-nucleotide long non-coding RNA. RefSeq lists it as uncharacterized. NCBI's taxonomy places the organism in Eukaryota, Metazoa, Echinodermata, Echinoidea, Camarodonta, Strongylocentrotidae. The record is from RefSeq and is a predicted model, not a curated record. The transcript has 2 exons.
AUUUGAAAUUGUGCAGGUAGUGUAUGUACGACUGACCGUAGGAACAUUCAAUGAAUGAUUUGUCGGAUAGACUCUCCGAAUCUCAUAAUAUUUUGAGCCGAUGUGUUCACUUAUUGUUUUUUUGAAUUAUUGAAACCACCUUGUAGAUGCUAUGACUUGGCAUACGUUAACUUUCCUUUGAUGUUCUACAUAUGACAGAAACCGAAUGAAAGGACUCGCAACUCUGCACCUUGUCUGAGUGGCACAUAUCGGAUGUGUACGUGGCAGUCCCGCCAGAGCUCUGGCUAGGGAAAGUGUACCAUAUGCUGUCUAACUGAACUUUAUGCUACUACUACUACGCUAGUUCGCUGUCGAAUUACCAGAACGUGAAAGACUGUGUUGUACGGUGGUGGCCAAUUAUUAUCAUUCUAUUUUUUGUAUGUUUACGUAGACAAGAUUUCUGCAUUUCAACUGCACUGUUAAUUAUUCAUCAUGGUUGAGUUCAAAGAUCCAAAUUCACCAAUGGAAGAAGGGUUCGACAAUCGUGUGUUCAUCGUUCCAGCCAUCAUAAUCAUAGGUUUGAUUGGCUUUGUCGUCUACAAGCUUGCAACAAGCAUCCAUGGCAGGGAGAAGGCACGGAGGGACAAGAAACAGAAGAAAUUGGAAUCUCGACGGAGAUAACGUGAGACAAGAAAGCACCACUGCAACAUCUUUCUGCUAACUUUAGUUCAAGAACCAUUUUAAAACUUAAUUUGAAAGGUAUACAUAUCAAUCAGUGUCGAGGCCUAUUGGCCAACAUGAAAGUGAAAGACUGAAAUUAAGGUUUAGUCUAUGACAUACAGUGUACAUUUUAUUAAUUUUACAUAACAAAUUACUAGCCAUGAUUCAUUAAGUCAGUGCAAUUUCUUGUUUGUUUUAUGUAGAAAUAUUUACCGUAGUCUAUAUGAUAAAAAUGAAAAAAGAAAACAGAAAAAUUAUUCCAUUUUCUUUUAUAUUUGUAUGUAGUUUGACUUUGAUUGAAGUUGUUGAAUUUCCAUUUUGAUUUUAAUUUUUCCUUGGAUACGUACAUGUAAACAUGUAUCGUGCCAUAGUCUGCAAAUUAAAGUCCUUCUAAGAAGAUGUACAGAAUGAAAAAGCUUCUGUUCUGAGUCUUCUGACCUUUUGAAUGCUGUAAGAUUUUGUCAUCUUUCUUUGUAAGGAGUUCAGCAAUAUACUCUUUGAUUUGAAAA